AAAACGGCCCUUUUCAGGGCCAAACCAAAAAAAAAAAAAUGCCAGU
Non-coding RNA from Ixodes scapularis (black-legged tick), 46 nucleotides. The record is from Rfam. NCBI's taxonomy places the organism in Eukaryota, Metazoa, Arthropoda, Arachnida, Ixodida, Ixodidae.